UCGCGGAUCAGCAUGCCGCGGUGAAUACGUUCCCGGGCCUUGUACACACCGCCCGUCACACCAUGGGAGCCGGUAAUACCCGAAGUCAGUAGUCCAACCUCGUGAGGACGCUGCCGAAGGUAGGAUUGGCGACUGGGGUGAAGUCGUAACAAGGUAAC
This 158-nucleotide ribosomal RNA is filed under the name uncultured bacterium. RNAcentral's name for it is "partial 16S ribosomal RNA". It matches the Rfam family "Bacterial small subunit ribosomal RNA", at positions 1342 to 1500 of the family's 1533-position model. The record is from RNAcentral.